GAUGAACGCUGGCGGCGUGCCUAACACAUGCAAGUCGAACGGUCACUUCGGGCAUAGUUGCGGACGGGGGGGGAAGGCGUAAGAAGCUACCCUUAGGUAGGGGACACCAACUGGAAACGGUUGCUAAUACCAGUUGUGCAGAGAUGGGAAAACUGAUUGGCCUGGGGAAGAGCUGGCGUCUUGUUAGGUAGUUGGUGUGGUAAGAGCGCACCAAGGAGACGAUCAGUAGCUGGUCUGAGGGGAUGGGCAGCCACACGGGGACUGAGACACGGCCCAGUCUCCUGCGGGACGCAGCUGGGGGGAAUUGUCCGCAAUGGGCGAGCGUCUGGCGGAGCAACCGCGCGUGGGGGAGGAAGGUCUUUGUAGUGUAAACCUCUUUCCUCAAGGAAGACGUCAGUGACGGUACUUGAGGAAUAAGCAUCGGCUAACUUCGUG
This 435-nucleotide ribosomal RNA is filed under the name uncultured bacterium. RNAcentral describes it as "partial 16S ribosomal RNA". It matches the Rfam family "Bacterial small subunit ribosomal RNA", at positions 28 to 507 of the family's 1533-position model. The record is from RNAcentral.